RNAcentral lists this ribosomal RNA (490 nucleotides) under uncultured bacterium. RNAcentral describes it as "partial 16S ribosomal RNA". It matches the Rfam family "Bacterial small subunit ribosomal RNA", at positions 28 to 507 of the family's 1533-position model. The record is from RNAcentral.
GAUGAACGCUAGCUACAGGCUUAACACAUGCAAGUCGCGGGGCAGCAUGGGGGUUGCUUGCAAUCCCCGAUGGCGACCGGCGCACGGGUGAGUAACGCGUAUCCAACCUGCCCUUCACCACGGGAUAACCCGGCGAAAGUCGGACUAAUACCGUAUGUUGUCCAUUGACGGCAUCCGAUUUGGACGAAAGGCUUGGCGGUGAGGGGUGGGGAUGCGUCCGAUUAGCCAGACGGCGGGGUACCGGCCCACCGUGGCUACGAUCGGUAGGGGUUCUGAGAGGAAGGUCCCCCACACUGGAACUGAGACACGGUCCAGACUCCUACGGGAGGCAGCAGUGAGGAAUAUUGGUCAAUGGGCGUAAGCCUGAACCAGCCAAGUAGCGUGCAGGAUGACGGCCCUAUGGGUUGUAAACUGCUUUUAUGCGGGGAUAAAGUGGCCCACGUGUGGGCUUUUGCAGGUACCGCAUGAAUAAGGACCGGCUAAUUCCGUG